Molecule: unclassified non-coding RNA, 180 nt
Filed under: uncultured Herpotrichiellaceae
Lineage: Eukaryota; Fungi; Ascomycota; Eurotiomycetes; Chaetothyriales; Herpotrichiellaceae
Description: sequence contains ITS2
Source: RNAcentral
UCACCCCUCAAGCCCAGCUUGAUGUUGGACGGCCGGUCUUGCGUCCCGCAAGACCCCUCCUAAAGAUAACGACGGCGGCCUGUUCACCCCCGGUACACUGAGCUUCUUAACUGAGCACGUAUCGGUAUUUUAGCGGUGGCGGGACCCGGUCUUCUUCCUUCAAUGGAAAAUCCUUCUCAA